CCCCUUAGAGUUUGAUCAUGGCUCAGAAUCAACGCUGGCGGCGCGCCUAACACAUGCAAGUCGAGCGAGAAAGGGAGCAAUCCUGAGUACAGCGGCGUACGGGUGAGUAACACGUAGGUAUCCACCUCUUAGUGGGGAAUAACUCGGGGAAACCUGAGCUAAUACCGCAUAAGUCCGAGAGGAGAAAGCAGCAAUGCGCUGAGAGAGGAGCCUGCGGCCGAUUAGCUAGAUGGCGGGGUAAUGGCCCACCAUGGCGACGAUCGGUAGCCGGCCUGAGAGGGCACACGGCCACACUGGCACUGAAACACGGGCCAGACUCCUACGGGAGGCAGCAGUGGGGAAUCUUGCACAAUGGAGGAAACUCUGAUGCAGCGACGCCGCGUGGACGACGAACCCCUUCGGGGUGUAAAGUCCUUUCGACCGGAACGAUAAUGACGGUACCGGUGGAAGAAGCUGCGGCUAACUACGUGCCAGCAGCCGCGGUAAUACGUAGGCAGCAAGCGUUGUUCGGAAUUACUGGGCGUAAAGAGUUCGUAGGCUGUUUGUCGCGUCGUCUGUGAAAUUCUGCAACUCAAUUGCAGGCGUGCAGGCGAUACGGGCAGACUUGAGUACUACAGGGAGAGACUGUAAUUCCUGGUGGUAGCGGUGAAAUGCGCAUAUAUCAAGAGAACACCGGUGGCGAAGGCGGUCUUCUGGGUAAUAACUGACGCUGAGGACGAAGCGUGGGUAGCGAACAGAUAGAUACCCUGUAGUCACGCAGUAACGGUGGUACUAAGGGGUGGGCUUCCUUUCGCGAGAAAUCGGGGCAGUAGCUAACGCAUAGUACCGCUGAGGGGAGUACGCCGCAAGCUAACUGAAGAAUUGACGGGUCGCACGCGGCGACCUGUGGAAUUGAAGCACGAAUCCUGUCUGGCGACGUACCUGACGCG
Molecule: ribosomal RNA, 929 nt
Filed under: uncultured bacterium
Lineage: Bacteria
Description: bacterial SSU rRNA
Rfam family: Bacterial small subunit ribosomal RNA
Source: RNAcentral